CUAUACUGUGAAACUGCGAAUGGCUCAUUAAAUCAGUUAUCGUUUAUUUGAUAGUACCUUUACCUGGAUAACCGUGGUAAUUCUAGAGCUAAUACAUGCUAAAAACCUCGACUUCGGAAGGGGUGUAUUUAUUAGAUAAAAAACCAAUGCCCUUCGGGGCUCCUUGGUGAAUCAUAAUAACUUAACGAAUCGCAUGGCCUUGCGCCGGCGAUGGUUCAUUCAAAUUUCUGCCCUAUCAACUUUCGAUGGUAAGAUAGAGGCUUACCAUGGUCUUAACGGGUAACGGGGAAUUAGGGUUCUAUUCCGGAGAGGGAGCCUGAGAAACGGCUACCACAUCCAAGGAAGGCAGCAGGCGCGCAAAUUACCCAAUCCCGACACGGGGAGGUAGUGACAAUAAAUACUGAUACGGGGCUCUUUUGGGUCUCGUAAUUGGAAUGAGUACAAUCUAAAUCCCUUAACGAGGAACAAUUGGAGGGCAAGUCUGGUGCCAGCAGCCGCGGUAAUUCCAGCUCCAAUAGCGUAUAUUAAAGUUGUUGCCGUUAAAAAGCUCGUAGUUGAACCUUGGGCCGGGCUGACCUGUCCUCCUAAUCGAGCGCACGGGUUCGGUCUGGCCUUUCCUUCUGGGGAACCCCAUGUCCUUCAC
RNAcentral lists this ribosomal RNA (643 nucleotides) under Chaetothyriales sp. Its description in RNAcentral is "SSU rRNA". It matches the Rfam family "Eukaryotic small subunit ribosomal RNA", at positions 74 to 722 of the family's 1831-position model. Lineage: Eukaryota; Fungi; Ascomycota; Eurotiomycetes; Chaetothyriales. The record is from RNAcentral.